Molecule: ribosomal RNA, 745 nt
Filed under: uncultured bacterium
Lineage: Bacteria
Description: bacterial SSU rRNA
Rfam family: Bacterial small subunit ribosomal RNA
Source: RNAcentral
ACGCUGGCGGCAGGCCUAACACAUGCAAGUCGAGCGGAUGAAGGGAGCUUGCUUCCUGAUUCAGCGGCGGACGGGUGAGUAAUGCCUAGGAAUCUGCCUGGUAGUGGGGGACAACGUCUCGAAAGGGACGCUAAUACCGCAUACGUCCUACGGGAGAAAGUGGGGGAUCUUCGGACCUCACGCUAUCAGAUGAGCCUAGGUCGGAUUAGCUAGUUGGUGAGGUAAUGGCUCACCAAGGCGACGAUCCGUAACUGGUCUGAGAGGAUGAUCGGUCACACUGGAACUGAGACACGGUCCAGACUCCUACGGUAGGCAGCAGUGGGGAAUAUUGGACAAUGGGCGAAAGCCUGAUCCAGCCAUGCCGCGUGUGUGAAGAAGGUCUUCGGAUUGUAAAGCACUUUAAGUUGGGAGGAAGGGCAUUAACCUAAUACGUUAGUGUUUUGACGUUACCGACAGAAUAAGCACCGGCUAACUCUGUGCCAGCAGCCGCGGUAAUACAGAGGGUGCAAGCGUUAAUCGGAAUUACUGGGCGUAAAGCGCGCGUAGGUGGUUUGUUAAGUUGGAUGUGAAAUCCCCGGGCUCAACCUGGGAACUGCAUCCAAAACUGGCAAGCUAGAGUAGGGCAGAGGGUGGUGGAAUUUCCUGUGUAGCGGUGAAAUGCGUAGAUAUAGGAAGGAACACCAGUGGCGAAGGCGACCACCUGGGCUCAUACUGACACUGAGGUGCGAAAGCGUGGGGAGCAAAC